This 771-nucleotide ribosomal RNA is filed under the name Corchorus olitorius. RNAcentral's name for it is "bacterial SSU rRNA". It matches the Rfam family "Bacterial small subunit ribosomal RNA", at positions 735 to 1520 of the family's 1533-position model. Lineage: Eukaryota; Viridiplantae; Streptophyta; Magnoliopsida; Malvales; Malvaceae. The record is from RNAcentral.
CUUAACUGACGCUGAUGGACGAAAGCGUGGGGAGCGAACAGGAUUAGAUACCCUGGUAGUCCACGCCGUAAACGAUGCUAACUCGUUUUUGGGCUUUCGGGUUCAGAGACUAAGCGAAAGUGAUAAGUUAGCCACCUGGGGAGUACGUUCGCAAGAAUGAAACUCAAAGGAAUUGACGGGGGCCCGCACAAGCGGUGGAUUAUGUGGUUUAAUUCGAUGAUACGCGAGGAACCUUACCAAGGCUUAAAUGGGAAUUGACAGACGCAGAAAUGUGUUUUUCUUCGGACAAUUUUCAAGGUGCUGCAUGGUUGUCGUCAGCUCGUGCCGUGAGGUGUUAGGUUAAGUCCUGCAACGAGCGCAACCCCUGUCACUAGUUGCCAUCAUUCAGUUGGGGACUCUAGUGAGACUGCCUACGCAAGUAGAGAGGAAGGUGGGGAUGACGUCAAAUCAUCACGGCCCUUACGCCUUGGGCCACACACGUAAUACAAUGGCAGGUACAGAGGGCAGCUACUAUGCGAAUAGAUGCGAAUCUCGAAAGCCUGUCUCAGUUCGGAUUGGAGUCUGCAACUCGACUCUAUGAAGCUGGAAUCGCUAGUAAUCGCGCAUCAGCCAUGGCGCGGUGAAUACGUUCCCGGGCCUUGUACACACCGCCCGUCAAGCCAUGGAAGUUUGGGGUACCUGAAGUCGGUGACCGUAACAGGAGCUGCCUAGGGUAAAACAAGUAACUAGGGCUAAGUCGUAACAAGGUAGCCGUACCGGAAGGUGCGGCUG